CACGUAGGAGGCGAGCGUUGUCCGGAAUCAUUGGGCGUAAAGAGCGCGCAGGCGGCCCGGCAAGUCGGGUGUGAAAUCCCGGGGCUCAACCCCGGGACUGCAUUCGAUACUGUCGGGCUAGAGGUAGGUAGGGGAGAUCGGAAUUCCUGGUGUAGCGGUGAAAUGCGCAGAUAUCAGGAGGAACACUGGUGGCGAAGGCGGGUCUCUGGGCCGAUACUGACGCUGAGGAGCGAAAGCGUGGGGAGCGAACAGG
This 253-nucleotide ribosomal RNA is filed under the name uncultured bacterium. RNAcentral's name for it is "partial 16S ribosomal RNA". It matches the Rfam family "Bacterial small subunit ribosomal RNA", at positions 524 to 776 of the family's 1533-position model. The record is from RNAcentral.